This 303-nucleotide ribosomal RNA is filed under the name uncultured bacterium. RNAcentral's name for it is "partial 16S ribosomal RNA". It matches the Rfam family "Bacterial small subunit ribosomal RNA", at positions 507 to 809 of the family's 1533-position model. The record is from RNAcentral.
AGCAGCAGCCGCGGUAAUACAGAGGGUGCGAGCGUUAAUCGGAUUUACUGGGCGUAAAGCGUGCGUAGGCGGCUUUUUAAGUCGGAUGUGAAAUCCCUGAGCUUAACUUAGGAAUUGCAUUCGAUACUGGGAAGCUAGAGUAUGGGAGAGGAUGGUAGAAUUCCAGGUGUAGCGGUGAAAUGCGUAGAGAUCUGGAGGAAUACCGAUGGCGAAGGCAGCCAUCUGGCCUAAUACUGACGCUGAGGUACGAAAGCAUGGGGAGCAAACAGGAUUAGAUACCCGCGUAGUCCCUGUCUCUUAUAA